Molecule: long non-coding RNA, 366 nt
Organism: Manis pentadactyla (Chinese pangolin)
Lineage: Eukaryota; Metazoa; Chordata; Mammalia; Pholidota; Manidae
Exons: 3
Source: RefSeq, a predicted model, not a curated record
CUGAGGCAGCACAGCUGAGGCUUCCGACUGCAGGGGCAGGCGGGUCGCACUGCAGCCCGGCCGGGGCAGCCACGGAGGCAGCUGGGAGGCAGUGUCCUGACUCGCAGGAAGGCUUGUAGCAGCUCUCUGCAGAAGGCCGGCCAAGCCUGACCGUUUCCAUGUACUCGUUCAAUUAGUGUAACAGCGUGCAUACCUCAUUCCUGUAAGUUGUGAGCAAUUGAGCUAUCACUGCGUGGGAACAGAUCGGGACGUGUUCUGAACGCCCUUUAUGUCUCCCCAAGACUCCGAGCAGGGGUGUGCUGGUGACCCAGGGAACUUCCCAUUUGUGGAGCCCACUGUUCAGACUCAACUCUAGUCCACAUGACC